RNAcentral lists this long non-coding RNA (2404 nucleotides) under Nicotiana benthamiana. Its description in RNAcentral is "long non-coding RNA (NBEN_LNC032616)". The record is from RNAcentral. Lineage: Eukaryota; Viridiplantae; Streptophyta; Magnoliopsida; Solanales; Solanaceae.
CCAAAAAACCAUUCCCCACCCGAUCCAUUUCUCUGUCGCUCAAAACGACGGCGUCCCCUCAUCAUCUAAUCUUGGGUGUCAAUUUUCCUUGAUCUAACAACUAUAUUUGGCUCUUGGGUUAAUAAUAAAACUGUCCUAAUAUAAGUAUAGCCAUAAGCGACCAUAUUCAUCUUCCUUGUAUCUCUCUGAAACACCACCGGUGGAGCCGCCACCGGUGAACGUCGUCGUCACCAUUCACGCCCAAAUUAACGUGAUCCUCUCCUCUCCCUCAUCUCUAAUCUACAAACAGCUUCCUUCAAAAUCCAUCCCAACUCUUCGAAUAUCCCAUUAAUGUUUUCUAGCCACGAUAUCCCUCGCCCCAAAUCGACCCAAAUUAACACCCUAGGUUUUCCUGAGCCUCCUCUACCCAACCCCCAUAACUGUAUGUCUCGAAGCUUUCCGGAACUACUCAUAUGGAGAUUUUUAAAUUCUCCGGCCAAACCCUAAAUAACCUAAUCCUUAGUAAUUGAGUACGAUAGGAUCCCUGGACCUCUUUUGUGGGAAUUUGAUCGUCAAUAAAGCUUGAAUGUCACUGGAAAUGGCCAAAUUGGAGAGUGCGUAAACUAGCCGGUUUUCGUUUAAGUAAGUACUUGCCCUUCAUUUCUUGUUUUUUUUCUUCUGUCAAGCUUCUGUCCCUAUUCUUCUUACUAGCAUGAGAAAUUAGUUAGAUUGCUAGAAUAAUUUUGAUGAUAAUUAGUUUUCAUGAUUAGUUGAUGCUGAGAAUUCCGAUUGGUUAUGUUUUUUUAUUUCAACACUGAUUUGGUUUAAUUUAAUUUAGUUUAAUUUUAGUUGAUUGUUGGUUCUGUUAAUUUGGUUAAUAGAUUAGGUAUUAGUUUAGUUAAACUUUAUAAUAGUUUUGAUGUAGUUAUACUGAUAAUAGCAAGGGUAAUUUCAAGCUAGUUUAGAAUAGAAUAGAAAAACUAGAAUUCACUAUGAUGUUAUGGAAGGGGUUCAAAGUGAAAAUCAGAAAAGUAGAUAGGAUAGCUUGAUUAACAAGAAAAAAACCUUAAGGACUAAGUUAAAAAUAACAUAGGGACUAGAGUGCAAUCCCAAAAUCUGAAGUGUUCCCCUAUAGGCCUAUAAAAGGGCACUGUAUUGCCUUGUGAAGGGGUCCUUCUUUCAGCCAAAAAUUCCCCCUCACCAGCAUUUUCUCGAUUUCAAGAUCUGAAACUAGAAUUCAAACUCAAAAAAACCAAAAACAACAUGAAAAUUCAAAAUUAAAAAAAGGUAGUUACUGUUUCAUUUGGAAUUUCCAGUUUGGUUUCAAGUUUCAUAGUUUCAAAUUUUGCUGUUUGAGAUUCCAAGGGUAUACUAGACUGAUCUUGGUAAAGAGGAUCCAAUCUAGUUGGUCUUUUAUCGAUCUAUAGUUGUGUUUAAUGCAUUGAUCAUUCUGGAUAAUUUUAAAGAUUUUUGGGUCUAUUUUGGAAUCGUGUCAGGUCUAAUCUCUUGUUUUGGUUGAUUUCAACAUCUUCUGGGCUAUAACUUGAUUCCCUGGGCUGUGUAUUAUUGUUGUUCGCAUAUAUGUUGGUUUGCUGUGGUAUUGCUGCUGCUGAUUUUCUUCUUCUGUUGAAUAUCUAUUUCCAGGUACCAUGUUGAACUCGUUGUAAUGUAAUUGUGAGCUGGAAGACGAAAUAAAGAAGUUUCAUCGAUUUUAUGUGUUAGUUAAUGCCUCCUAUUGAUUGCUAGAUUGUAAUUAAGUUUUGUUAUAGUUGUAUUGAUAUUGCAUAAGGCUAUACGUAUUUCGUUGUAGUUAUAAGGUUGUAAAAUUAGAGCAUUGGUAGUGCUUGGAAUUGAUUAAGCUGGAAUCACUAGCGAAAAUAAAAAAGAUUUCAUAAUUGAGUUGAUCAUUUUUAGUUUACCUGAGUAAUGGAAUACAAUAUCAACAUCAUGUUCACCUAAUUAAUGUACAGUAAUUUGGAUAACUUGAGUUGGAAUAAUUGGUCCAUUCUGUGUUUAUAAAUCACAUUCCAUUUGGCUGUGUCAUUACGUUAUUAACAUCUGAGGACUCAAUGUGAAAUGAGUGGGCGGAAUAGAUGGAAUUACGUUUUACGGUUCCUUUAGUAAUUGUGUACCAUCUUCUUUUGCUACGAUCAUUGAAUACUUAGAAUAAAAUCAGAGAGAAUUUUCCGGCGUGUCUGGGCUGUGGAUUUUGGCCCUAAUUCUAAUUAGAAGUUUAUUGUAGAGACGCAACGUGAAGAUUCCAUGAACUGGUCACACGCAUGCCAUGUGAUUGUGGACUUUCGGGUGGAAUUUUGGAAUGUCUCUACCCAGACUCGAUAUCUGAUCUGCACACAAUGAGAAAAUAUAUGGGAUUGGGCUCUUUUCACAAGCCCAGUUUAGUGAGCCAACAAUUUGGGCUUAGUUC